Molecule: ribosomal RNA, 460 nt
Filed under: uncultured bacterium
Lineage: Bacteria
Description: partial 16S ribosomal RNA
Rfam family: Bacterial small subunit ribosomal RNA
Source: RNAcentral
CCUACGGGCGGCUGCAGUGGGGAAUUUUGGACAAUGGGCUCAAGCCUGAACCAGCCAAGUCGCGUGAGGGAUGACGGUCCUAUGGGUUGUAAACCUCUUUUGUCGGGGAGCAAGGCCCGCCACGUGUAGCGGGACUGAGAGUACCCGAAGAAAAAGCAUCGGCUAACUCCGUGCCAGCAGCCGCGGUAAUACGGAGGAUGCGAGCGUUAUCCGGAUUUAUUGGGUUUAAAGGGUGCGUAGGCGGAAGGUCAAGUCAGCGGUCAAAUGGCGGUGCUCAACACCGGUCUGCCGUUGAAACUGGUCUUCUUGAGUGAGCGAGAAGUAUGCGGAAUGCGUGGUGUAGCGGUGAAAUGCAUAGAUAUCACGCAGAACUCCGAUUGCGAAGGCAGCAUACCGGCGCUCAACUGACGCUGAGGCACGAAAGCGUGGGUAUCGAACAGGAUUAGAUACCCCAGUAGUC